AAAAAGACAAACUCUGGUAUCCGUGUGCAACGUUUGAUCGUCCGUCUUAUUUAAAAAUAUUAUGAAAAAAUUAAAAAGACAAGUCACGCAUAAAGUAUUAAUCAAGUUUUAUCAUCUAACAACGAUGAAAAUACUAAUUAUAAAAAAAUUUCAUAUAAGACGGACAGUCAAACGUUGGCACGGAAACCCAGGAUUUGCCUUUUU
Molecule: microRNA precursor, 204 nt
Organism: Oryza sativa Japonica Group (Japanese rice)
Lineage: Eukaryota; Viridiplantae; Streptophyta; Magnoliopsida; Poales; Poaceae
Rfam family: MIR812 microRNA precursor family
Source: Rfam